This 285-nucleotide long non-coding RNA is filed under the name Gossypium barbadense (sea-island cotton). RNAcentral describes it as "long non-coding RNA (GBAR_LNC018604)". Lineage: Eukaryota; Viridiplantae; Streptophyta; Magnoliopsida; Malvales; Malvaceae. The record is from RNAcentral.
CCACAUUCAGAAGACAAGAUUUAGACUCAAAAGCUAAGUUUAUUUUUCUCUCCUGUGUGACCCCUUUGCUGGCCUUUUUUUCUUUUUUAUCUUUUCUCUUUCUUUCAGGUAAAAGUUAUAAUUUGCCAAGAUUCUAAUUUGUGCUUUAGUUUUUCGUCAUGUCUCCUCAGCCCCUGACCAGUGCCAGGCUGCUUUAAGAGCCAAGGGGUUGAAGGUUGAACGCAUGCCAUCCACACUUUUUAACUUUGAGCCAGCUUUUAGAUGUGCUGGUUUCCCAAGUUUUGC